UUUGGGUAGGGAAGUUUUAAUAGUAAAAUAAACAUGGAGUAUAUUUUAACAUAUAAGACAUAAAUCUGUGUGAUGUUUUAAGAUGUUAAGGAAAAGAUGGAUAUGUGGUGGCAUAUGCCAAUAAUCCCAGAAACCUGGAGUUGGAGACAGGAGGAUUAAGAGUUCAAGGCCAGCUGGGCACAGUAGUGUACCCCUUUAGUCCUAGCACUGGUGGGUGGUACAAGUCAGGGCCAGGCAAGAGCAGCAGGGGGUAGGGACCUCAGCACCACAGCCCAGGUCUAAGCAUCCAGCUCUGUCCCAGCCAGGAGGACUCUGGCCAAGAGCCAUCUAAAAGGAGACAUAUUGAGUGAUACCUUAAUUUUCUCCUCUGAGCAAAGGGCCUGGUCGAAUUGACUUUUGGACUUUUUUAUUUUUCCUAUUCUAUGCCUGUCCAUCUCUUGUCUGAGUUAGGUUCUCACUAUAUGGCAUAGGCUAGCCUCAAGCUCUCAAUCCU
This 493-nucleotide long non-coding RNA is filed under the name Rattus norvegicus (Norway rat). Its description in RNAcentral is "long non-coding RNA NONRATT009528". The record is from RNAcentral. Lineage: Eukaryota; Metazoa; Chordata; Mammalia; Rodentia; Muridae.